ACCAGUGUGGUGUAGUAGUUUGCACAUUGGACUACAACUCUGGAGACCAGGGUUCAAAUCCCUGUUCAGCCA
Phrynosoma platyrhinos (Desert horned lizard) is the source of this 72-nucleotide non-coding RNA. The record is from the annotation of a GenBank genome assembly. Lineage: Eukaryota; Metazoa; Chordata; Lepidosauria; Squamata; Phrynosomatidae.